This 1143-nucleotide unclassified non-coding RNA is filed under the name Hevea brasiliensis (rubber tree). The record is from RNAcentral. Lineage: Eukaryota; Viridiplantae; Streptophyta; Magnoliopsida; Malpighiales; Euphorbiaceae.
AAAGAAUUGAGUUUGAGUUGAUUUCCCAAGUUUCUCAAAGAGCAAUCCCACUUACCUUAAUUGAUAUCUCUACCAUAGGAGUCCUUAUUUGACUUAAGAUUAUUCCUGAUAUUGUAGAUUUGCAGUUUAGAAUUGACAAUCUGUCUUUGAGUAGAACUAAAUGUUUAGAAAAUUUAAUGCAUAUUAACAUAGUGGCAAAUUGAUAUAGAGCAAGAAGAACAAAGAGAUCAAGAUAAACACAUUCUCGAGACAAAAGAGAAACUGAUUAUCAAUAACUCUUAUUAAUUCUCAACAAUAAUCAUAAUAAUCAAAUCCACUAAAUCCCUUGUUAACACAUAAAUAGAUAAUAAAAUAACUAGUCUUAUUGCUGCUAGGAUUAGGAAUAAUAUAAUAGCAUUCCUAUAUGAUAUAAACUUCCUAAUUAAUAAUAAUCUAAAUUUCCUAAUUAUGCAAUGAAUAUAAUUCUUAUGUAUAAUAAGUUGAUUCUUCUUCCAAUACUUCAUCAUUAGUAUUCAGUAUCUUAUAUUGAGGCUCGCUACUUUUAUUUUAUACAUAAAUCUGAUUCAUUGUACUCAUUUUCCAACAAAUCAUUUUUGGAUUCCUUAAGAUGGUUGAACAUGGUCAAGAAGCUUUCUCUUAUCUUAAACCUGAUCAUGUUUGUUUUGCAACUAAACUCUUCACAUUAGGGUGAAAUAUUACUAUAUUAUUAUUCUAAACUUGUGCUCAGCUCUAGGUUGGAUUACAAUUUUACAAGUUUAGCUAAUGUUAUGCUGCACUUAAACUUGUGUAAUUGCGGUUAACUGGAAAAACCAUAAACAAUAUUAAAUGUGUUAAUAAUGAUAAGGGAUGCACUUCCUUUCUCCAACAAAGAAGCCAAAGGAAAGGAGAGGGACACAAUCCUAAUUUGCUGGAGAUUGUGAGAUUUAGUUUUUAGUCUGAUCCUUUCCUAGAAUUGUGUUGCUUACUGGCUGCAAACUCUAUUAAAUGUCAACAGCAUAUAAAUUCUGUAGGUUUAAACAUCUAAUGAAAAUGGAACAGAAACAUGAAAAGCAUCUUUGGUUGAAUAUGCAGCAGUGUUCUGGAGUUUGGGCAUUUAUCAUUAUGUCAAUGCCAUUAUUCCUAUCAGUAUUUUAUUGUUCUUUU